Sitodiplosis mosellana (orange wheat blossom midge) is the source of this 527-nucleotide long non-coding RNA. RefSeq lists it as uncharacterized. The record is from RefSeq and is a predicted model, not a curated record. NCBI's taxonomy places the organism in Eukaryota, Metazoa, Arthropoda, Insecta, Diptera, Cecidomyiidae. The transcript is spliced from 2 exons.
AACCUGUUUUGAAUUUGCCCAAUUGAAUGCGUCAAAUGGUUCAAAAUAUUUGUCGAAUUUCGCAACAUUUUGUUUGCUCGUGGUAAAUUUCUGGUUGGAUUUGUCGGUGGAAAUUGUGUAUAAAAGGCGAUCGAAUCGAUGAGAAAAUCAUUCGAAUUGUCAGCUUCAUCUAAGAGAGGUCAAUUGAAAGCUAAAUCAAAAUCAAAUUCAUCAUUAUCGCUGUUUUAUUCGCUGGAGCUUGUGUUGCUCUUCCACAACUCGGUGUUCCUGUUCUACCUGGCAGUGGUCUUGGCAAUAUCAGUAGUUUUAUUAACGGUACUGCUGGACGUCUCCCCGAUGGUCUCGUUGGUUCCGGUGGUCUCCGUGGUCUUGAUCUACCUGGCGUUAGUGAUUUAUAUCCUGGUGCUUCGGCCAACGCCAACGCUUAAAUGGAAACAAAUCAACACUAUUUGUGAAUAUCUUGCACAACAUCUGAAAUGUGAACUUUUAACAAAAAUAUUUCAAUAAACAUUUUUGAACAAUUUAAA